This 460-nucleotide ribosomal RNA is filed under the name uncultured bacterium. RNAcentral's name for it is "partial 16S ribosomal RNA". It matches the Rfam family "Bacterial small subunit ribosomal RNA", at positions 338 to 795 of the family's 1533-position model. The record is from RNAcentral.
CCUACGGGAGGCAGCAGUGAGGAAUAUUGGUCAAUGGACGAGAGUCUGAACCAGCCAAGUAGCGUGAAGGAUGACUGCCCUAUGGGUUGUAAACUUCUUUUAUAUGGGAAUAAAAUGUUCCACGUGUGGGAUUUUGUAUGUACCAUAUGAAUAAGGAUCGGCUAACUCCGUGCCAGCAGCCGCGGUAAUACGGAGGAUCCGAGCGUUAUCCGGAUUUAUUGGGUUUAAAGGGAGCGUAGGUGGAUUGUUAAGUCAGUUGUGAAAGUUUGCGGCUCAACCGUAAAAUUGCAGUUGAAACUGGCAGUCUUGAGUGCAGUAGAGGUGGGCGGAAUUCGUGGUGUAGCGGUGAAAUGCUUAGAUAUCACGAAGAACUCCGAUUGCGAAGGCAGUUCACUGGACCGUAACUGACACUGAGGCUCGAAAGUGUGGGUAUCAAACAGGAUUAGAUACCCCUGUAGUC